RNAcentral lists this ribosomal RNA (253 nucleotides) under uncultured bacterium. RNAcentral's name for it is "partial 16S ribosomal RNA". It matches the Rfam family "Bacterial small subunit ribosomal RNA", at positions 524 to 776 of the family's 1533-position model. The record is from RNAcentral.
GACGUAGGGCGCGAGCGUUGUCCGGAUUUAUUGGGCGUAAAGAGCUCGUAGGCGGCUUGUUGCGUCGACCGUGAAAACCCGCGGCUUAACUGUGGACUUGCGGUCGAUACGGGCGGGCUGGAGUUCGGUAGGGGAGACUGGAAUUCCUGGUGUAGCGGUGAAAUGCGCAGAUAUCAGGAGGAACACCGGUGGCGAAGGCGGGUCUCUGGGCCGAUACUGACGCUGAGGAGCGAAAGCGUGGGGAGCGAACAGG